UAAAGAACGUUUGAUUGUGUCCAGCA
Molecule: non-coding RNA, 26 nt
Filed under: Bombyx mori (domestic silkworm)
Lineage: Eukaryota; Metazoa; Arthropoda; Insecta; Lepidoptera; Bombycidae
Source: RNAcentral